UUUUAUUUCAGGAUAAUAAGGGAGUAUUAUGAUAUAUUUGUGAUAGAAAAGAGGCAUUGAGUUUGAGAAUCACUGCUCUGAGCAAAUGGCAGUUCCCUUUUUUCCUAAAAAUCAUAGGAUUUCAGGGUUAGAGGAGCCCUUGACAGUCACUCAGUCCUUUCCCCACUCCAUCUAGUAUUCAAAUCCAUGCAGUUGGAGGACCAAGGACCUUCACACACCUGUUUCCUUCCUCCUAUGAUGUGACCCUUUGGAGUUCCCAGGAUGGAACCCAGUGGGAAACAGGCCUGAAGGACCAAGGGCCCAGGCACAGUGAGCUUCACCAGAUGUUGGCAGGUAGUAUUAUAGAUAUUGGGAUCCAAGUGCCAUUCCAGAUCUCAUCCACUUAGAGACGUUGGCAUCAGCUCAGUGGAAAACCUAGUCUUACAUUGCAAGAGGAAAUACUGUACCCUCAGAGGCUCAGUCCAUAUCAAGGACCCCAUAAAUGCCGAGCUGGUGGACAAACGCACUGCAUCUCAGAACAUACCCUGGUGCUGGAGUUCUGAAUGACUCCAUGGCAUCUGAUCCUCAAGAAGCACUGGGCUAGGUGGAAAGUAAAUAGAUGGACUGGGGUCAUUAGGAAACUAGAGGCAACUAGGUGAAGAUGCCUGCUCUUGGCCGUUUAUUCCAGCAUCAAGCUUCAGUGACUUCAGAUUCUUAGAUGAAGGGGCUGUGUCGUGUCAGAAGGGCUGGCUUAGUGAGCUUCAGCCAGGGCCAGCCCCAGUGCCUCUGCUGACAGUGUCCCAAAGCUGCCUUGACAGUAGACGGACCUGAAAGGCACAAUGCUGGGUUAAACCACCUGCAACCAUGCUCAGAUCUUUCCCCCAUCUUUCUUCUCCGCUGCCCUCACUACCCCACGAACUUGCCCCUCAGUUGUUCCUUCCCAUGCCGUACGCCCUUUCCCCUGGAGAUGGACAGCUACACUCCACCUACUUCCCUCUAGCCCCCCUGGGCUGACACAGAGCCCUCUGUCUUCCUGUGGAAUGCAGUAGCAAUUCUGAGCAUGGUGCUGGACAAGAAGUCCAGCUCCCCUCGUAAACUUUAUAGCUUAGGAAAAUAAACAUGUGGUUUAAGGUCUUUGCAUAGGCGGUGCUCACUGAGUUUGAGCUUGCUUUACAGAACGACGAAAGAAAAUAUUGGUAGAGCUAAGAAAUUUCUGAGCCAGCCAAGGGACAGUAGUCCAGAAAUCUUGGGGAGGGUUUGAUGGUUCAGGCAAUAAAAUGAGGAGUCAUCUAUGUAACUGUUAUCUCACUCCCCUCUCUGCCUGCCUGAGUGAUGGAGCCAGGCUCCCUUGUUCCUUGGGGCAAGGAACCAGUACAGGGAUAGGGAAUCACAGUGUUUCCUAGCUGCAAGGGCCCUUGGAGAUGGUUUUACAGAUGAGGAAGCAGGGUCCAGAGAAAGGCAGUGAUCUGGGAACCACUGUACUUUUCAUACAAGCAACCUUCCGGACAUCUGCUAUGUGCUGUCCCAGCAUGGUGAGGGGCCCCAUGUACAGUAAUGGGAUCUGCAGAGGAGUGCUGCGCCCCAGCCUGCUAUCUGCAGGAGCCCGAGUGGGGUUCUGCGUAGUCUCAGGUCGCCAGCAAUGAUUUUCACAGUGUGACUGUGGUGUCUCAGGACCCUGGGACCCAGGACCACCAUCGUGACCACCUUCCUAGUCUUCACUGCUUCCUUUACACCUCAACUCCAAAGACCUCUCUGAGCUGCACGCAGUUCUGGGCUCUCGGAGUGGCAGAGGACUUGGGUGCCACGAGAGCACCAUGCUCAGCCUCCCCUGACCCUGACUCAAACAAAACUAUUAGAUGCAUCCCCUACCCUAUCUAUCUGUCUGAGGACUCUCUGAACCUUUCCACUGGUGGGAAUGUAAAGUCAUGCAGCCCUGUGGAAAGGAGUUUGGCAAUUCCUCAAAAGUGUAUUAUAUAGAAUGACUGUAUGACCCAGCAACUCCCCUCCUAGGCAUAUGCCCAAAAGAACUGAAAGCAAAUACUGGUGCAUGCAUGCUUAUGGGAGCAUUUUCCACACCAGCCAAAGGUGGAAACAGAUGUCUAUCGGCAGAUGAAUGGCUAGGCAAGGUGUAGUAUAUACAUAGAAUGAAAAACUAUUCAGCUAUAAAAAGGAAUGGAAUUCUGAUACAUGCAAUAACAUGGAUGAACUUCAGAAACAUGCUAGGCCUCUAAGCUAAGCUAACAUGCAAAGAAGCCAGAUACUGAAGGUCACAUUGUAUGAUUCUGCUUAUAUGAAAUACCUGGAAAGAGACAGAAAGCAGAUCAAUGGCUGCCAGGGCCUGGGAGGAGUGAUUGCUUCGUGGGUAUGGGUUUUCCCUUUGAGGUGAUGAAAAUAUUCUGCAACUAAAUAGAGGUAGUAGAUGCACAGCAUGGUGAAUGUUGGUCUUGAACUCCUGACCUAAAGUGCUACUAAACUGUGUGCUUUAAAAUGGUUAAUUUUAUGUUGUGUGAAUUUCACCUCUAAGAAUUUUUUUCUUUUUUUUUUUUGAAACUGAGUCUCACUCUGUUACCCAGGCUGGAGUGCAGUGGCGUAAUCUCAGCUCACUGCAACCUCCGCCUCCCGGGUUCAAGCGAUUCUCCUGCCUCAGCCUCCCAAGUAGCUGGGACUACAGGCGCCUGACACCACACCAAGCUAAUUUUUGUAUUUUUAGUAGAGACGGGGUUUUGCCAUGUUGGCCAGGCUGGUCUUGAACUCCUGACCUCAAGUGAUCUGCCCACCUCAGCCUCCCAAAGUGCUGGGAUUACAGGUAUGAGGCACCGGGCCUGGCCUAAGAAAAAAA
Long non-coding RNA from Sapajus apella (tufted capuchin), 2818 nucleotides. RefSeq lists it as uncharacterized. NCBI's taxonomy places the organism in Eukaryota, Metazoa, Chordata, Mammalia, Primates, Cebidae. The transcript has 2 exons. The record is from RefSeq and is a predicted model, not a curated record.